AUUGAACGCUGGCGGCAUGCCUUACACAUGCAAGUCGAACGGUAACAGGUCUUCGGAUGCUGACGAGUGGCGAACGGGUGAGUAAUACAUCGGAACGUGCCCGAUCGUGGGGGAUAACGAAGCGAAAGCUUUGCUAAUACCGCAUAAGAUCUACGGAUGAAAGCAGGGGACCGCAAGGCCUUGCGCGAACGGAGCGGCCGAUGGCAGAUUAGGUAGUUGGUGGGAUAAAAGCUUACCAAGCCGACGAUCUGUAGCUGGUCUGAGAGGACGACCAGCCACACUGGGACUGAGAGACGGCCCAGACUCCUACGGGAGGCAGCAGUGGGGAAUUUUGGACAAUGGGCGAAAGCCUGAUCCAGCCAUGCCGCGUGCAGGAUGAAGGCCUUCGGGUUGCAAAGUGCUUUUGUACGGAACGAAAAGACUCUUUCUAAUAAAGAGGGUCCAUGACGGUACCGUAAGAAUAAGCACCGGCUAACUACGUGCCAGCAGCCGCAGUAA
RNAcentral lists this ribosomal RNA (498 nucleotides) under uncultured bacterium. RNAcentral's name for it is "partial 16S ribosomal RNA". It matches the Rfam family "Bacterial small subunit ribosomal RNA", at positions 30 to 523 of the family's 1533-position model. The record is from RNAcentral.